RNAcentral lists this long non-coding RNA (215 nucleotides) under Brassica napus (rape). RNAcentral describes it as "long non-coding RNA (BNAP_LNC020093)". The record is from RNAcentral. Lineage: Eukaryota; Viridiplantae; Streptophyta; Magnoliopsida; Brassicales; Brassicaceae.
GUCAAGAGAGCAGCAACUUCAUAUACAGUACGAAUUAUAGAAUUAGUUCGAUAAAUUAAUAAACAUGUUAAAUUAACAAAUUUUCCCGGUUCCAAAUUGAGCUGAUGUAAAAUAUGACAUAAUUCAAUAAAAUAAUAAGAUAAUAAUAUUCAGAAAAAUUCUUUGCUAAAUAUAUAUCCCAUUGAAAUCAUAAAUUAAUAAUUACGAUAUAUUUA